UACGUAGGGGGCAAGCGUUAUCCGGAUUUACUGGGUGUAAAGGGAGCGUAGACGGUGAUGCAAGUCAGAAGUGAAAGCCCGGGGCUCAACUCCGGGACUGCUUUUGAAACUGUGUGACUGGAGUGCAGGAGGGGUAAGUGGAAUUCCUAGUGUAGCGGUGAAAUGCGUAGAUAUUAGGAGGAACACCGGUGGCGAAGGCGGCUUACUGGGCUUAAACUGACGCUGAGGCACGAAAGUGUGGGGAGCAAACAGG
Molecule: ribosomal RNA, 253 nt
Filed under: uncultured Lachnospiraceae bacterium
Lineage: Bacteria; Bacillati; Bacillota; Clostridia; Lachnospirales; Lachnospiraceae
Description: partial 16S ribosomal RNA
Rfam family: Bacterial small subunit ribosomal RNA
Source: RNAcentral